AGCUGCUCCCUCAACACAAACACAAACACCCAUGGAGUAGAAACAGAAAAUUAGACAGUUGAGGAGACAAUUCACAUGGAUUCAAGAGAUUUACAAAGAAUACUUUAUUUUAACGUGGAAGAUAUAAAAAUCCCCAAGAUGGAAAGGCAUCUUCCACUACUACGGGGAUUGUCUCAUGGGGAGCGUUGCUACAUGUUCAGUAUCAUCAAUGUCUAUGACCCAGAACCAGCUCGAAGGAGAUUAUACCACAAACACAAAAUGCUCUGCAAAAAGGCCCUCUCAUAUUGAACAUUGAAGAAAAGCACCGUCAUCAGACUAUUAUCAUAAUUCGGAAGCAAUCACUCUGAAACCAUUACAGAAAGAAAGUUUAUUUACCUCCGGAAAAAUACAGGCAGCAUUUCAUCAAGAGUCGGAAUCAUCCUGGAUCCCACAUUCUCCCAGUAUUACUAUGUAGCCUUUCCAUAGUGGGCUGAACUUCCAGUCACACUUUACUCACAAGCACCACAACUAAAGCAGGAAUUCACACAAGACACGAUGUUACAAUAGUGAUAGAACACCAAUCAUCCUAAAUAUUCACAGUAAGAACCCUGAUGUGAAAAGGCAAAGUGGUGGGAUUCACCAUAUAUGUGUAAAGCUCCAUACUAGCUGUCCAACUCGUGUACUCUUUCUUUCAUCAUAGGAUGUGCAAGACUUCUCUCAUGUCCAUUAUUAAAAACAAAAUUAUACCAGA
Molecule: long non-coding RNA, 730 nt
Organism: Bufo bufo (common toad)
Lineage: Eukaryota; Metazoa; Chordata; Amphibia; Anura; Bufonidae
Exons: 4
Source: RefSeq, a predicted model, not a curated record